RNAcentral lists this ribosomal RNA (948 nucleotides) under uncultured bacterium. Its description in RNAcentral is "bacterial SSU rRNA". It matches the Rfam family "Bacterial small subunit ribosomal RNA", at positions 1 to 918 of the family's 1533-position model. The record is from RNAcentral.
AUUCGCCCUUAGAGUUUGAUGGUGGCUCAGAACGAACGCUGGCGGCGUGGAUAAGACAUGCAAGUGGAACGCUGACUAGAAGAUAGCAAUAUUUUCUAGAAGGAGUCGCGAAAGGGUGCGUAACACGUGGGCAAUCUGCCCUGAAGUUCGGAACAACUUGCCGAAAGGUGAGCUAAUACCGGAUGUGAUCUUUUGCAGGCAUCUGCGAAAGCUCAAAGCUGGGGAUCUUCGGACCUGGCGCUUUAGGAUGAGCCCGCGGCCUAUCAGCUUGUUGGUGAGGUAAAAGCUCACCAAGGCUAAGACGGGUAGCCGGUCUGAGAGGACGAUCGGCCACACUGGAACUGAGACACGGUCCAGACACCUACGGGUGGCAGCAGUCGAGAAUCUUUCACAAUGGGCGAAAGCCUGAUGGAGCGACGCCGCGUGGGGGAUGACGGUCUUCGGAUUGUAAACCCCUGUCAUCUGGGAGCAAUGCUGCUUCGUUAAUACCGGAGUAGUUGAUAGUACCAGAAGAGGAAGGGACGGCUAACUCUGUGCCAGCAGCCGCGGUAAUACAGAGGUCCCAAGCGUUGUUCGGAUUCACUGGGCGUAAAGGGUGCGUAGGCGGUCGGCAAAGUCUGAUGUGAAAUCUCCGGGCUCAACCCGGAAACUGCAUCGGAUACUGGUUGGCUAGAGGAUUGGAGGGGGGAGUGGAAUUCUCGGUGUAGCAGUGAAAUGCGUAGAUAUCGAGAGGAACACCAGUGGCGAAGGCGACUCCCUGGACAAUUCCUGACGCUGAGGCACGAAAGCUAGGGGAGCAAACAGGAUUAGAUACCCUGGUAGUCCUAGCCGUAAAUGGUGCACGCUUGCUGUGGGCGGAAUCGACCCCGUCCGUGGCGUAGCUAACGCGUUAAGCGUGCCGCCUGNGAAGUACGGUCGCAAGAUUAAAACUCAAAGAAAUUGACGGGG